UGGACCUAGCCAUUUAAGGGUCCAAGUUCAGUCCACUUUGGACCCCCAAGACCUCCUCACAGUCACUUAUCCUUCAUUUUGCCACUUUUACAGAAAAUAGUCCUCUUUGUAUCUCUUGUGCUGAAGCAGAAAGCUCUGCUAGGGCUUAAACAAGUUCCUUGAUUUCCAUAGCUGAAACAUCUUUCUACCACCUCAUUAAGCUGUUCUUGGUCUUGGUUCUCUUCCACCAAGAGUCCUUUAAGAACAUUUAGCUCCAUUCGAGAUGUGGAAACCCUUGGUAGAACUCAGGAUGGUGAAGAUGCUGCUGUGUAAAGUGGUCCCUUUAGUCUGGGUUAUGGCUCACUGUUGAGCCACUUUUUGAACAACUCUUGUUUAUUUAGAUUGCUUGCUCUAUGAGCAAUCUUUUGUAAAACAAUAGUAUCCUUGUGUCCUUUUUAUGACAAUUGUGAUGUGCCUAAGCUUUUAUUCCAAGUAUACUAUGGAUAAUUGUAAUAGUCAGUACAUGUAUGCU
Long non-coding RNA from Vigna unguiculata (cowpea), 511 nucleotides. RefSeq lists it as uncharacterized. Lineage: Eukaryota; Viridiplantae; Streptophyta; Magnoliopsida; Fabales; Fabaceae. The record is from RefSeq and is a predicted model, not a curated record.